Molecule: unclassified non-coding RNA, 249 nt
Filed under: uncultured fungus
Lineage: Eukaryota; Fungi
Description: partial contains 5.8S ribosomal RNA, internal transcribed spacer 2, and large subunit ribosomal RNA
Rfam family: 5.8S ribosomal RNA (bases 1-52)
Source: RNAcentral
AACGCACCUUGCGCCCUCUGGUAUUCCGGAGGGCAUGCCUGUUUGAGUGUCAUAAACACCUCAUCCCUUCGGGUUUCCGAUUGGGUGGAUUUGGGUGCUGCCAGUCACAUGGCUCACCUUAAAUGCAUUAGCGGUUGUUGACGUGAUAAGUUUCGUCUCAUCGACCGCUGACAAUCUCCUUCGGGAUGCCUUUCUCAGGGCACUUUAUGAUCUGACCUCAAAUCAGGUAGGACUACCCGCUGAACUUAA